Molecule: unclassified non-coding RNA, 406 nt
Filed under: Hevea brasiliensis (rubber tree)
Lineage: Eukaryota; Viridiplantae; Streptophyta; Magnoliopsida; Malpighiales; Euphorbiaceae
Source: RNAcentral
GAGAAGAAGGCAAGUCAAUUUUCUCCUUAUAUAAGCAACUACCCUCACCUUAUUCUUUUUUAUUCUCUCUUCUCAGAUCCAGUUUUGGUUUUUUAUCCUCUUGCUCUUAGAUCUCCAAAGUUUUCACCGACAUCUACGGAGUUCGAGUUUUAGUUCGUUUUCUCUCAAAGUUUGAAUCUUUUAUACUUUUCUUGUCUUUCUCUUUUUGUUCUUCAAGUAAAUUUUGAUGCUGCUAGUGGUGGUGGUGAGGGAGGAUUUUGCAAGAGACUAGAAGAUUUGAAGUGGGUUUUUCAUGGUUGAUGAGCAUAAGCGGAGUUUGAAGAGUAGAGUGAGAAGGAAAAGCACUGUGCGGCCGUCAAUCUAACUAGGUUUUUUUGCUGUGUGUGACUGUGGCUAAUUUUCUCCU